AUUGAACGCUGGCGGCAGGCCUAACACAUGCAAGUCGAACGAGUGGCGGACGGGUGAGUAAUGUCUGGGAAACUGCCCGAUGGAGGGGGAUAACUACUGGAAACGGUAGCUAAUACCGCAUACCAUCGGAUGUGCCCCGGUGGGUUUAGCUAGUAGGGGGGGUAACGGCUCACCUAGGCGACGAUCCCUAGCUGGUCUGAGAGGAUGACCGGCCACACGGGAACUGGGAAACGGUCCAGACGCCUACGGAAGGCAGCAUUGGGGAAUAUUGGACAAUGGGGGCAAGCCUGAUGCAGCCAGGCCGCGUGGAUGAAGAAGGCCUUCGGGUUGUAAAGUACUUUCAGCAAGGAGGCGUUACUCGCAGAAGAAGCACCGGCUAACUCCGUGCCAGCAGCCGCGGUAAUUC
Molecule: ribosomal RNA, 406 nt
Filed under: uncultured bacterium
Lineage: Bacteria
Description: partial 16S ribosomal RNA
Rfam family: Bacterial small subunit ribosomal RNA
Source: RNAcentral